Non-coding RNA from Leptonychotes weddellii (Weddell seal), 2888 nucleotides. The record is from RefSeq and is a predicted model, not a curated record. NCBI's taxonomy places the organism in Eukaryota, Metazoa, Chordata, Mammalia, Carnivora, Phocidae.
AUAAACAUCUCCUGCCUGUCAUUGAUUCAUCAUUCAGAUAGAUUACACACAAGACACGUAAAAAAUGAUGGUCUGCACCACAGGUUUUUAUUUCUAUUAAAUUCUACAGCAUAUGAUCUUGAACAAACAUUUGUAGUCAAUAUUUGAUAAAAAGUCCGAUUCAAUCAAGUAAAUAAAGCAUUAGAAAAAAUAAUUUCAUUCCUUUGCUAAACUAAAUCCAUUAAGACUCUAACACAAGUAGAACGGAGGACAAAGAAUAUUUAAAACAAAACAAAACAAAACAGUGAGACCCAUUGCACAUUUGCAUUUUGAAAUUAAUUGCUGCCCUAAUUAUUUGUCAGUAGAAGCAUAAAUUAAGCAAAUAUAACUUACAGUAAGCUUUUAGACACCCACAGGAUUCUCCCCUCAAGAGUAAAUUGUCAUAAUGGUUCAGUAUGAUGGUUUAUUUUUGCUAUCUUUCCAUGAUUGAGGAAAGAGAGAAGAUUGGAAAUGGAGCUGUGGGGAAAUGAAACAGGGACUCCAGACGAAGACGUCGACACAGGUGGAAAUGGAGGCUCUCAGGGGAGAGUGUGAAUGUGCAAUGCCUUACAACCUGGGCUCCAAAUAGGCAUCGGGUCAUGUCUGCCCGUCUUUCAUUGGCCAAAGGAAGUCCCAUUGUCAAGCUCAACACCGGUGGGCAUCACCUCUCCCCUGUCACCAACUGGCAACCCACAGCAAAGGAUGUUUUUCUGAUCAUUUUGCACUCAUUAAAUGCAGCUGUCACAACAGUGGAUGCGAGGAUGCUUGCAAAACUUUUCUGCCACGUCAAAAUAAAGCUGAAGAGCUUUUUAAAGAAGAGCUGAAACCUUUGAAGCCUGUUCUCAAGGAAUAUUGGAAAUAUUGCCUUUUGUCGUUGACAAUUGAAAGUGUUCCAUCGCAACACAAAUUAAAUGUUGGCCCAGGCUAAGGAAGCAUCGUCCAUCAAAAUUUCGUAGCAGAAUGCAUUUGGCCGACCAUUGGGGUUCCGUUCCUGGGUCUGAAUGACCUAGAGGUGCCAUACUCAUUGGAGUGGCUGAUCCCUGCUAAUGGUUUUAAUGGGGUGGAGUAGUUCCCUGAUCCUUGAAGAACUGUUACAAGAUUGAAAUAAUCAGAUGCCUCCUACAUACCCUAUUAGAGAAGUGAGACAAACAAGUGGAUUCUGGAUCCAUAACACAGACCUGUUGAUUAGACUCUCAGGGUGGAGGUGAGGGCCUUCCUUGGUCUUGGCUCACUCAUCAGAAUCCAUUUCACUGAUCCACAGACUUGCAAAAAGGACUAUACCCUCAGUAUGUGCUUCUUGAUGUAGCAUCUCCUGAGCUUUCCUUUGUUUCCCAAGCACCAGUCUUAUUUAAAAGUUGACUCUGGGUUUUGCUCUUCUAAGAAGCCUCCCAUCUGCCCCCUCCAUUGGGUUAGUAAUGGGGCCAUGGAGUGUGUUCCCUCUAUACCACGGCCCAGCUCUAUUUCAGAGUAGUGACCCCUCUGUCCCUGUGGCAGCACCAUCUGUUCAGGGAUCCCCCACUCAACUGGGAUUUUGAGAGUCAGGACUGGGUUUGUCAUCAUAGGUGCGGCCCAAAUGGGGCAAAACAGGGCUGCUCCCCCCGCAAAUGGUGGAGGGCAGAAAGGAGGAAAGAGGGGAGGAAGGCAGGCAAUGGCAUCAGACAAUUUCAAGGGGUGGCUAGGCGCAUCUUGCCUCCUGAUGUUGCUUGUGCACAUCAGGUAGCAGAGAUACAGAUGUUUUUGCCUCCCCUCCUCCACCUCUGGGUGCACAUUACAGGUCCCUGGGUACAUGGACAGUAAUUAUUGGUUAAGUAAUAGGAGAAGCACUUACCCCCGGGGUGAGUGUGUCUGUCAGAGUCUGGUCAGGAAAAUCUACCUCACAAGAUAUUUCUUAUCUCCGAGUCUCCACCUAAGUUCACCUUUGGACAGAGACUAAAGGGAGCAGGAGAAUGUGUCCCAGCCCCACAGCCAUGAAGCAAGGAGAGAAGAGUGGGGGCUUGGUGAUGGGCGCGGGAGAGCCAAGUGGCCGAGCAGUCUGCAAGAGUCCAGUUCACUCCUCCAUCACAAGAUGGGACACACUUGAGUGACCCGCUGCGGGGUCUGAUGACCGCGUCCGCCUCCCUCGCCUUCUCGUGAUAGGGGGUGAUGGCACAGGAGACUUCAGGGAACAAAAUGUAAGGAAUUGAGAUGCCGUCUUCUGCGUGAUACCACACUGGUGAGGAAAUCCAAAGACCAGAGAGAAAUGACGAGUUGAAAGGAAUGGUGGAUGAGAACCUAGCAUCCUCUGGUGUAUGGGUCACUGUACCAGCGCUGAGCAGAGAUCUGAAGUAAGAACCAGAGGAUGAGGCAGAGGGUAAGCAAGUGUGGAGCCCGGAGAGUGUUUCGCCGGCUUCGGUGAGUCCAUGAGGGAAAAGGAGCCCCUGGUCCACACCACGCUCUACCUCGUCCUGGAGAGUGAAGAACUCACUUCCCGGUUGCUUUUGUCUAUCCGGAAGUAUAUUUUGAUUAGGUUUUCUUACUAAUUUGAAUUUAUGAGAUCUCCUUUAUAAACACUGCUCAGCAAAUCAAGAAGCACCAGUUGUGUGUCUGCCGUGUGCAAGGACCACUGGUUGCAGAGCUAGCUCCUUGCCUUCCUUCUGCGACUCACCUUGAACGUCCCCUCCACAGAAGCCGUCCUCACACGCCCACUUUGAAGUUGCUCUUCUCCAUCAUUUGCUAUCUUAGGCCCUGGUGAUUUUCCCUGCCUGACGCUAAUUAUAAUUUAUAAUUAGUUCGUUUACCUGUUUAGUCAUUUGUUUGCCUCCUCCAGAAGGGCAAGGCCAGCAUCUAUAUCCUGAUGCUAGCACGGUCCCUGGCGUGCCGUAGAAAUGACA